AGAAUCAACGCUGGCGGCGUGCCUAACACAUGCAAGUCGAACGAGAAAGUGGAGCAAUCCACGAGUAAAGUGGCGCACGGGUGAGUAACACGUGACUAACCUACCCUUGAGUGGGGGAUAACCUAGGGAAACCUGGGCUAAUACCGCAUAAUACCUACGGGUCAAAGGAGCAAUUCGCUUAAGGAGGGGGUCGCGGCCGAUUAGUUAGUUGGCGGGGUAAUGGCCCACCAAGACGAUGAUCGGUAUCCGGCCUGAGAGGGCGCACGGACACACUGGAACUGAAACACGGUCCAGACUCCUACGGGAGGCAGCAGUGGGGAAUUUUGCGCAAUGGGGGAAACCCUGACGCAGCAACGCCGCGUGGAGGAUGAAGUCCCUUGGGACGUAAACUCCUUUCGAUCGGGACGAUUAUGACGGUACCGGAAGAAGAAGCCCCGGCUAACUUCGCGCCAGCAGCCGC
Molecule: ribosomal RNA, 460 nt
Filed under: uncultured bacterium
Lineage: Bacteria
Description: SSU rRNA
Rfam family: Bacterial small subunit ribosomal RNA
Source: RNAcentral